Molecule: unclassified non-coding RNA, 459 nt
Filed under: Musa balbisiana (Balbis banana)
Lineage: Eukaryota; Viridiplantae; Streptophyta; Magnoliopsida; Zingiberales; Musaceae
Description: partial external transcribed spacer
Source: RNAcentral
GCAUGUGAGUGGUGAUGGAUCUGUAUGCCGUGGUAGGCUCCCUGCUAUUGUGCAGCUAGCUGCCGACGCUGCAAGUCUCUUCAAUCUCUCUUUGUUUGCACGGAGAUGUGUGUGUUGCCUGUACAAUCUACCUAGUUCCUUUGGAAAUUGACAUUGUUUAACUUGCUUAUCCACUUCUCAUGUGCUAUGCGGUUGAGGAGUGUCGAUGUCCGUGCACCUUGUGUGUCCUCGAACGAUGGCAUGUCCAAGACCCCUCGUCUCGAGUGGCUCCGGUGUUCACGUGAGUGCUCUUGGAUGCAGUGGAUAGGAAUGUCCCAUGGGUCUUUUGACUCUUGGCACACGAUCGGUUGGCUUUCUUAGUCGCCCUUCGACGGAUGACCGCCUUCCCAUCGUUGCUCCCCUUUCCCUUGUGGUAAUGGGUUGGCAUGUUGGGCUUGGCGUCGUUGAGGACGUGCUACC